RNA transcript from Sphaeramia orbicularis (orbiculate cardinalfish), 4477 nucleotides. It is a transcript of the gene named seizure protein 6-like, with no coding region annotated. The transcript is spliced from 17 exons. The record is from RefSeq and is a predicted model, not a curated record. Lineage: Eukaryota; Metazoa; Chordata; Actinopteri; Kurtiformes; Apogonidae.
UUUCUCUCCAUGUGCCGACAGCUCACACCGCCAGGAAUCCGCUUACAGAGCGUCCAAAUUAAACAGGGACCUCCGCGUUUCACUUCAUUAUUCUCGGCUGUCUUCAUUCCGCCGCUUAUUAAGGCAGUGCAACAGCUACACGUACGUCUUCGCUUCUAUUUCGGAGACGUUUAAAGCGCGUCUGCUUUGUUUUUGCCCUGGAAGUAUUCUUCUUAUUUUUUUCUUUCUUUUUUUUUUCUUUCUUUCUUUCUUUUUUUUUAAACACAUACGGACGUGUUCUGCAGCUCCGCGAAGAGCGACCUCGACUUUAGUAGACAUGUGUGUGAGACAACACUGUCAAUUUAAGACCCUCAUCACGGUUUUGGUGCUUGCUGCAGCUGUGGGCAAAAUACACGGUCAAGGCCAGAAGGCAAGCUUUGGUGAGCGAACACUGGACCCAGACACGGAUGUUUUCACACACUCGUCGACGCAGGACACAGAGAGUGAAGUUCACUCAGUCACCACCCACUCACCGGGACACAUCCCAGACCAUCGACCCGUCCUCAAGGGCAUGCUGCUUCACGAGCACCUUCUUACGAGAGACUUCCAAGGGGACCAGCAUUUUUUUAGGAGGGAUGGCUCUGUAGCUGCAUAUCCCACCAUGCCUAGCUCUGUGCCUGCCUCAGAUGUAGGAGACCCCAUCACUCAGUUGGUGCCCCAUGAGGAUGCCCCGGCCUUUUCAGACAUUGCCUCCACUGCCACUGCAGCUGCUACCUCCCCACUGACCACAUUUUCUCCCACCACACCAAGGCCACCCAUGUCUCUUCCUCAAAAGAAGCCCACUGUGGACAAGACCAGGGAAGCAGAGAAAGUAGCUCCUACCACAGACUCCCUAACCACUCAAGUGACACCAAAUAAUAAAAAUGAGAACAACCCCGGGACUUCUUUAUCAUUUCAGAGAACUAGGCCUCCAAGUUGGAGUGUUUUUCCAGCAGAGGCUACUCCUGCGUCCUUUUCGGUGAUGACAGAGAAAGGGGAAGCUAAGGAAACACUCAAAAACAAAAGCAACCCUGACAACUUCUCAUCAACUCCCCGCUUAAGAAGUACCCCCACAAAGUCCACCACUGUGAUCACAGCUACCACCAUCACCACCAUGCAAACAUCUGAACCAUGCAGUCUGAAUUUCACUGACCCUGAAGGCAACAUCGAAAUCCAGCAGCCGGUUGACCCUGGAGUGGAGUGUAACUACUUGGUGACUGUGUAUCUGGGAUAUGGCAUCGAGGUUCAGGUCUUGAAUGUGAGUAUGCUGGAGGGGGAGCAGGUGAUAGUGGAGGACACAGGUGGUCGAGAGCCCUCCAUCCUGGCCAAUGAGACCGUCUUGUUGCGAGGCCUUGUAUUACGCAGCUGGAGCAACCAAAUUUCCAUCCGCUUCCGUAGUGACCAUCAGUCUAAUUCUGGAUUCCUCCUCCUGCGUUACCAAGCCUUUGUGUUGAGCUGUGCAUUCCCAAAGGAACCUGCAGGUGGAGAGGUUUCUGUGACGCACCUCCAUCCUGGUGGAGAAGCUUACUUCAGCUGUUUUACCGGCUACAAAGUGCAAGGUCCUAAAAUGCUUACCUGCCGCAAUGCAACCACACCUUAUUGGAGCGGGAAGGAACCCAGAUGUGUGGCAUCCUGUGGGGGGAUGAUAAAAAAUGCCACCUAUGGCCGCAUCGUAUCUCCUGGUUUCCCUGGCAACUACAGCAACAAUCUAACAUGCCACUGGGUCCUGGAGGCCCCCGAAGGCCAUCGACUCCACAUUCACUUUGAGAAGGUGGCUCUGGCAGAAGAUGAUGACAGGCUGCUGAUUAAAAAUGGUAACAACAUAGACUCUCCACCUGUGUAUGACUCCUAUGAGGUAGAGUAUUUGCCAAAUGAAGGUGUUACCAGCACCGGACGUUACCUGUUUGUAGAGUUUACCACAGAUGGGACUUUGACCUCCACCGGUGCAGCCAUCAGAUAUGAAUCUUUUGCCAAAGGGAUGUGCUAUGAGCCCUUUGUAAAGUACGGAAACUUCAGCAGCUCUGACUCCACCUACGCUGUGGGAGCCGUGGUUGAAUUCUCAUGUGACCCUGGGUACACGCUGGAGCAAGGCUCUGUAGUGAUUGAGUGCGUGGAUGCACAAAACCCACAGUGGAAUGAGACGGAGCCAGCCUGUAGAGCUGUGUGCAGUGGGGAGAUCACAGACUCUGCUGGUGUUGUGUUGUCUCCUAAUUGGCCUGAGUCCUACGACAAGGGGCAAGACUGCAUCUGGGGCAUUCAUGUGGAAGAGGACAAGAGGAUCAUGCUUGACAUCCAAGUUCUCCAUUUGGGGAAGAAUGACCUUCUGACCUUCUAUGAUGGUGAUGACCUGACAGCCAACAUCCUGGGCCAGUACAGUGGCACUCGACCGCACUUCAAACUCUACACAUCUAUGGCUGAUGUCACUGUUCAGUUUCAGUCCGAUCCAGCCACUAAUAUCUAUGGAUACAACAAUGGAUUUGUGGUCCACUUCUUUGAGGUGGCGAGGAACGACACCUGCUCUGAGCUACCGGAAAUCACCAACGGCUGGAAGAGCACAUCCCACCCUGACCUUAUCCACGGCACCGUCGUCACCUAUCAGUGCUACCCUGGAUUUGAGCUGGUGGGGUCUGAGAUCCUCAUGUGCCAGUGGGAUCUUACAUGGAGCGGUGAUGUGCCGAGAUGUGAGGAAGUCAUGACAUGCCAGGACCCGGGAAACGCUGAGCACAGUCGCAGGGUGGUCACCGGCAGCCGCUUUACUGUGGGAUCAACAGUGCAGUUUAUCUGUCAUAAAGGCUACGUCUUAUCUGGCAACAGCCUCCUCACCUGCUACAACCGUGAUUCGGCCACGCCAAAGUGGAGCGAGAGGCUGCCCAAAUGUGUCCCUGAAAAAUACGAGCCGUGCAGGAACCCUGGUGCUGCCUCCACUAGCGUGCAGAGCUCUGAAAAAGCCUUCUAUCAAGCAGGAGAGACACUUACCUUCUCCUGCCACUCAGGCUACGAGCUGCAAGGCCACGCCACCAUUUACUGUGUGCCUGGACACCCAUCACAGUGGAAUAGCACUCCCCCUGCCUGUAGACCAUCUUCAACCCCGUAUGUGGAUGAACGCAGGUUGGAUGUUGUUAAUUUGGAUUAUGGUGUGGAAGGAACCAACAUUGCCCUCGCUGUUUUCAUUCCAACUGCAAUCAUCAUGGUGGUUGUACUUGGGAUUUAUGUCUACUUUGCAAAGCUUCAGGGAAAGUCGAUCAGAAUGCCAUCAUCCUCACCACCCUACGACAACAUGACAGAAGAGUCGGCUUUUGAAAACCCAGUCUAUGAGAGUGGAGUAAGUACUGAUGACAUGAACAUGCAGGAUGUGGAUUCACAGAACACCAGCGUCCUGUCUUGAUCCUCUGCCAUCUGGCUGUCAUCCUGGCAUCAUCUCAUUUUUCACCAGCAGAGGGCCUCAUUCAUUUCAUCUUCCAUCUCCAUAUCAUGAGUGAGUGAGCAAUGAACUGCUGGACCCUGAUAAUAACUCUACUGGAAUUACAAAGAAAAGACACGUUCCUCAACUUAUACACUGAGGUCAAAAGAUUCCUUUCCAUCCCUUAUAAUCCAUCAUGUUCUUGUAGAAGUGAGAAUGAUAUUUAAGUGUUACAUCUUUCAUGCUGUGAGUCAUCUGUUUCCCAUGUCAUUAUAUAAAUGUUGCAUUAAACACUACCUCUUGAUAAGUUUAUCUCAUGUAGCCACGACAUCCAUGUGAAAUAAAACAAUAUGCAUUUUCAACCUGCUACAUAUAGUUGUUAUCUAAACUAUGAAAUAAUGUCUAUAAAUCUACCAGAAAUAUAACUAUAGCGUUAACACAAGCUGAAGCAAAAUGUAUCAGCACAGUUUCUCUCUGGUCUAUUAUUUCUUGACAUAAAUUGCUUUCAGUUGUGACUUGAGCGUCCUCUCCAUUUUUCCUGCUCUCAUAGCACUGGCAGACCCGUUCUAGAUACUAAAUGGUGUGGGUCUGUCCACUUUGGCUGAACUGCAGAAGACCUAUAAGGACAAAUGAAAAACAUUAAGAGGUGUCCAUAAAGAGACCUUAAAGCAAGAAUUGCUCAAGCUUUGCCUUUUGGAACCCUCUCUGCACUGCUCAUCUUUUCCUUUUAUUUCCAAAUUGUUUCUUUCCAUUUUCCCUUUGUGCUGAUAUCUGUAAAUAUGUCCUUCUUUCCACGGUCAAUUCUGUGAAUCUGUGGAUCACCAUGGUGAUAUUUUUAUAAUGUAAAUUGCUAAUGACCGUUGGUGAUUGUAUGUUUUUCAGUACUUUUUGAGUCCCUAUGCCACUAGCAAUUAGAGAUGGAAGGAAAUGGUGCUCUGAUUGUUGAGAUUUGUCAGAAGAAAAUGCCCGGUCACUGACAUUCUUUGAAAAUUUGCCACCAUGACUAUUUUUCUUUAUGUGUAAGGUUCUGCUAUUUGUAAAUAAACUGCCUGUCCAAUA